Tetranychus urticae (two-spotted spider mite) is the source of this 488-nucleotide non-coding RNA. Lineage: Eukaryota; Metazoa; Arthropoda; Arachnida; Trombidiformes; Tetranychidae. The record is from RefSeq and is a predicted model, not a curated record.
UAAAAAGACGAAAACUAGCAUCAUUUCAGACUUCUCGUUAAGUAAAGCCAUUUUAUUGUUCGUGUUUCAUUGGUAUAACAAAAUGAAAAUAGUGCUAAUCUGUUUUUUCUUGCUUUGCAGCUUCAAUAGUAUCUUGAUGGUAACGAUUGGCCCUGAAAGAGACUUCGAACGGGGUAGGCCGUGCUAUCGUGUCGCUGAUUGUAAAGAAGGAUACUGUUGCGUCAACCGAAUGGUAUUAAGAAGCAGACAAUUAAGUUGCCAGCCAUUGGGAGACCCUGGAAACUUUUGCACUACAAAAGCCAAUAAAGAAAACAAAUAUACAGACGCUUGUCCAUGUAAACCUGACUUAGCAUGCUCGCAAUAUGCACCUCGACAAAAUAUUUGUAGCUUCGCCAAUGGUACAGUCCCAGACAGUCCUUCUUACUUCCGAUGAGGAAGCUCUUUGUAUUACUUCAUGCCAAUCAAAUAAAUUGAAUUUGAAAUAUUGA